UACGGAGGGUGCAAGCGUUAUCCGGAUUCACUGGGCGUAAAGCGUGCGUAGGUGGUUUGUUAAGUCUGUUGUGAAAGCCCCGGGCUCAACCUGGGAAUGGCAAUGGAUACUGGCAAGCUAGAGUGCGGUAGAGGGUAGUGGAAUUCCCGGUGUAGCGGUGAAAUGCGUAGAGAUGUGGAGGAAUACCGAUGGCGAAGGCAGCCCCCUGGGCCAAUACUGACGCUCAUGCACGAAAGCGUGGGGAGCAAACAGG
Molecule: ribosomal RNA, 253 nt
Filed under: uncultured bacterium
Lineage: Bacteria
Description: partial 16S ribosomal RNA
Rfam family: Bacterial small subunit ribosomal RNA
Source: RNAcentral